UUUCUCAGGCCAUCGGUGAUCUUGACUCUUGUCUUGCCACUGGAUUUCAAUGACUUUGGAAGAGGCAUAGGUGACUGAACAGAGAGCAUGAGAGAUAGCUUUUUCAGGAAUGGCAGCAUCAAGAGGUCAAGAGUUCCCAGAUUCCUCAGUAAGAACUGUUGGGCAGUAAAAUAAGCUUUUUGCAACUCUAUGUCACUCGUAGAUUAUGACCCUUGCAGGAGCCAUUGCCUUAUCAGAAUAUAUGAACCUUGAUGUUGUUUUUUCAACAGUUCAGAGUUGGCAUGAAGUGACAAGAACAUGCCUUCUCUCGUUUCAGAGUACCCUGGGACCCACACCCAUGAGUGGAACUUCACCUAAGGCUUCCAACUCCCCAAGAUUUAUCCAUCAUGGCAUCGCACCAAGUCUUCUUGUCCCUAGGCAAGACCAAGGAUGCCAGGUUCUGCUUAAACUCUCCUGCAACCUCAAUCAAAUAUUAUCUCAUUUCCAAUCCUUGC
This 494-nucleotide long non-coding RNA is filed under the name Monodelphis domestica (gray short-tailed opossum). Its description in RNAcentral is "lncRNA (ENSMODG00000040031.1)". The record is from RNAcentral. Lineage: Eukaryota; Metazoa; Chordata; Mammalia; Didelphimorphia; Didelphidae.